RNAcentral lists this long non-coding RNA (206 nucleotides) under Nicotiana benthamiana. RNAcentral describes it as "long non-coding RNA (NBEN_LNC010634)". The record is from RNAcentral. Lineage: Eukaryota; Viridiplantae; Streptophyta; Magnoliopsida; Solanales; Solanaceae.
AUCCUUGAUUAAUAAUAACAUAAUAAGAUAAAUAACUUACUUCAGAAAUCCCUUAUGGAAUCGCUUACUAUUUCUGAAUUUCAAAAAAGAGAUAAAAAAUAGCUGGGGAUAUUAUGUGGUUUAUUAGUAUUCUAAAUCUUAGUUGGUAUUCAAAAUAUCCGAUUCAAGUAGACAAAGAGAUGGUUGAAUCAAAAUUUUUUGUUUAA